GACGAACGCUGGCGGCGCGCCUAACACAUGCAAGUCGAACGGAGCUGUUUUCUCUGAAGUUUUCGGAUGGAAGAGAGUUCAGCUUAGUGGCGAACGGGUGAGUAACACGUGAGCAACCUGCCUUUCAGUGGGGGACAACAUUUGGAAACGAAUGCUAAUACCGCAUAAGACCACAGUGUCGCAUGGCACAGGGGUCAAAGGAUUUAUCCGCUGAAAGAUGGGCUCGCGUCCGAUUAGCUAGAUGGUGAGGUAACGGCCCACCAUGGCGACGAUCGGUAGCCGGACUGAGAGGUUGAACGGCCACAUUGGGACUGAGACACGGCCCAGACUCCUACGGGAGGCAGCAGUGGGGAAUAUUGCACAAUGGGGGAAACCCUGAUGCAGCGACGCCGCGUGGAGGAAGAAGGUCUUCGGAUUGUAAACUCCUGUCCCAGGGGACGAUAAUGACGGUACCCUGGGAGGAAGCACCGGCUAACUACGUGCCAGCAGCCGCGGUAAAACGUAGGGUGCAAGCGUUGUCCGGAAUUACUGGGUGUAAAGGGAGCGCAGGCGGAUUGGCAAGUUGGGAGUGAAAUCUAUGGGCUCAACCCAUAAAUUGCUUUCAAAACUGUCAGUCUUGAGUGGUGUAGAGGUAGGCGGAAUUCCCGGUGUAGCGGUGGAAUGCGUAGAUAUCGGGAGGAACACCAGUGGCGAAGGCGGCCUACUGGGCACUAACUGACGCUGAGGCUCGAAAGCAUGGGUAGCAAACAGG
This 751-nucleotide ribosomal RNA is filed under the name uncultured Lachnospiraceae bacterium. RNAcentral's name for it is "bacterial SSU rRNA". It matches the Rfam family "Bacterial small subunit ribosomal RNA", at positions 28 to 776 of the family's 1533-position model. Lineage: Bacteria; Bacillati; Bacillota; Clostridia; Lachnospirales; Lachnospiraceae. The record is from RNAcentral.